This 370-nucleotide RNase P RNA is filed under the name Gammaproteobacteria bacterium. Its description in RNAcentral is "RNase P RNA component class A". It matches the Rfam family "Bacterial RNase P class A". From Rfam's summary of the family: Ribonuclease P (RNase P) is a ubiquitous endoribonuclease, found in archaea, bacteria and eukarya as well as chloroplasts and mitochondria. Its best characterised activity is the generation of mature 5'-ends of tRNAs by cleaving the 5'-leader elements of precursor-tRNAs. The record is from RNAcentral. Lineage: Bacteria; Pseudomonadati; Pseudomonadota; Gammaproteobacteria.
AGAGUUGACCGAGGCAAUCGCUGUUUGCUAACGCAGAUGGAGGAAAGUCCGGGCUCCAGAGGGCAGAGUGCCAGGUAACGCCUGGGAAGCGCGAGCUUACGGCUAGUGCCACAGAGAAUAUACCGCCUAGUAUUUUAUACUCGGUAAGGGUGAAAAGGUGCGGUAAGAGCGCACCGCGCAAUUGGCAACAGUUGUGGCAAGGUAAACCCCACUCGGAGCAAGACCAAAUAGGAGCUUACGUGAGUAUCUUUGAUGCUCAUAAAGUGUGGCCCACACUAAGCUCGGGUAGGUUGCUUGAGGUGUUUGGCGACAAACAUCCCAGAUAAAUGGUUGUCCACGACAGAACCCGGCUUAUCGGUUGACUCUAUCU